UACGGGGGGGGCAAGCGUUGUUCGGAAUUACUGGGCGUAAAGGGGCUGUAGGCGGCCAACUAAGUCCGACGUGAAAUCCCAAGGCUUAACCUUGGAACUGCGUCGGAUACUGGAUGGCUUGAAUUCGGGAGAGGGAUGCAGAAUUCCAGGUGUAGCGGUGAAAUGCGUAGAUAUCUGGAGGAACACCGGUGGCGAAGGCGGCAUCCUGGACCAACACUGACGCUGAGUGAGCGAAAGCCAGGGGAGCAAACGGG
This 254-nucleotide ribosomal RNA is filed under the name uncultured bacterium. RNAcentral's name for it is "partial 16S ribosomal RNA". It matches the Rfam family "Bacterial small subunit ribosomal RNA", at positions 524 to 776 of the family's 1533-position model. The record is from RNAcentral.